UACGGGGGGAGCAAGCGUUGUUCGGAUUUACUGGGCGUAAAGGGCGCGUAGGCGGUCGUGACAAGUCACUUGUGAAAUCUCCGGGCUUAACUCGGAACGGUCAACUGAUACUGCGGGGCUAGAGUGCGGAAGGGGCAACUGGAAUUCUUGGUGUAGCGGUGAAAUGCGUAGAUAUCAAGAGGAACACCUGCGGCGAAGGCGGGUUGCUGGGCCGACACUGACGCUGAGGCGCGAAAGCUAGGGGAGCGAACGGG
Molecule: ribosomal RNA, 254 nt
Filed under: uncultured bacterium
Lineage: Bacteria
Description: partial 16S ribosomal RNA
Rfam family: Bacterial small subunit ribosomal RNA
Source: RNAcentral